CCUACGGGAGGCAGCAGUGGGGAAUUUUCCGCAAUGGGCGAAAGCCUGACGGAGCAACGCCGCGUGAGGGAUGAAGGCCUCUGGGCUGUAAACCUCUUUUAUCAAGGAAGAAGAUCUGACGGUACUUGAUGAAUAAGCCACGGCUAAUUCCGUGCCAGCAGCCGCGGUAAUACGGGAGUGGCAAGCGUUAUCCGGAAUUAUUGGGCGUAAAGCGUCCGCAGGCGGUCUUGUAAGUCUGUCGUUAAAGCGUGGAGCUUAACUCCAUUUCGGCGGUGGAAACUACAAGACUAGAGUGUGGUAGGGGCAGAGGGAAUUCCCGGUGUAGCGGUGAAAUGCGUAGAUAUCGGGAAGAACACCAGUGGCGAAGGCGCUCUGCUGGGCCAUAACUGACGCUCAUGGACGAAAGCUAGGGGAGCGAAAGGGGAUUAGAUACCCCUGUAGUCCUAGCCGUAAACGAUGAACACUAGGUGUCGGGGGAAUCGACCCCCUCGGUGUCGUAGCUAACGCGUUAAGUGUUCCGCCUGGGGNGUACGCNCGCAGUGUGAACGUACAAUAGAGUUAGACGGCGUGUAAGACGUGCCGACGGCGACGACGAGGGAGGAGG
Molecule: ribosomal RNA, 604 nt
Filed under: uncultured bacterium
Lineage: Bacteria
Description: bacterial SSU rRNA
Rfam family: Bacterial small subunit ribosomal RNA (bases 1-522)
Source: RNAcentral